This is a long non-coding RNA of Panicum virgatum (switchgrass), 792 nucleotides long. RefSeq lists it as uncharacterized. The record is from RefSeq and is a predicted model, not a curated record. The transcript is spliced from 3 exons. Lineage: Eukaryota; Viridiplantae; Streptophyta; Magnoliopsida; Poales; Poaceae.
GCAUCAAGGUUUAGAAUCAAAGGAGAAGAUAGAUGUACCGAGUCAGGAACUAAAGGAUAAGAAUGAUGAAAUUGAAGCAUUGGAGUUGCUGAACAUGACUCUGUUUAUCGUGGAAAGGAAAAGCAAUGAUCAGUUACAAGAUGCUCGGAAGGAGCUGAUAAAUGAAAAGGUUAUCUGAAGAGGACAUAGAUGCCACCUGUGCUCUCCUUCUCCUUUGUUCAAAAUGGGAAGAGGAAAUUAGAAACCCAAACUGGCACCCUUUUCAGGUUGAAAUGGUUGAUGGAAAAGAAAUGGAAUUUCUUAUAGAGGAUGAGAAGCUUUAGAAGCUAAAGCAAGAGCACGGCGAAGAAGCAUGUGCUACGGUGACAAAGGCCUAAGUUUCCCUGACCACUGGUACCCUGUCCACCGGCGCCUGUCGUUGUGCUUCCCAUCAGCAGCCAUCGUUGUGUAGAUUUGGCUGCAGCCCUCUCCCUCUACUAGGCACAGCUAAAAGACAGUUGCAGGUUUGGUAGUAGCUCAAAGUCCAUAUGGAGGAAGCCCAGUUGCUUCAGAUAUCCUGUGAGAGGGUAGCUUGGUGACUAUGUCAGAUUGCGUGAAAUCAGGGAGAUCUUGGUAUUGAAAGUCCGUAAGGUAUUUGCCUUGAUCAUUCUAGCCACUAACCAGCUUGCCUAUUAAUGAGUGAGUGUUCUUGACUCUAUUCGUUGCGUUAUCGUCAGGGUGAUGUGCAGGCUCUAGAAGAUCUGACCUAUGAAAGGAGGAAAGAAUUCCUGCGACAACAGCAUCCAUUGCCUC